UGGGGCUGUAGCUCAACUGGUAGAGCGCCGGUAUGGCAGACCGGAGGCAGCGGGUUCGACCCCCCGCCAGUUCCACCCA
RNAcentral lists this transfer RNA (79 nucleotides) under Mycobacterium phage ScoobyDoobyDoo. RNAcentral's name for it is "tRNA-Ala". It matches the Rfam family "tRNA". Rfam says of the family: Transfer RNA (tRNA) molecules are approximately 80 nucleotides in length. Lineage: Duplodnaviria; Heunggongvirae; Uroviricota; Caudoviricetes. The record is from RNAcentral.